Myotis lucifugus (little brown bat) is the source of this 107-nucleotide small nuclear RNA. NCBI's taxonomy places the organism in Eukaryota, Metazoa, Chordata, Mammalia, Chiroptera, Vespertilionidae. The record is from Ensembl.
GCGCUCGCUUUGGCAGCACAAAUACUAAAAUUGGAACGAUACAGAGAAGAUUAGCAUGGCCCCUGGGCAAGGAUGACAUGCAAAUUCGUGAAGCUGUCCAUAUUUUU